This 63-nucleotide transfer RNA is filed under the name Philus pallescens. RNAcentral describes it as "tRNA-Phe". The record is from RNAcentral. Lineage: Eukaryota; Metazoa; Arthropoda; Insecta; Coleoptera; Vesperidae.
ACUUAAAUAGCUUAUGUAGAGCAUGAUAUUGAAGAUAUCAAGGAAAUUUUGAAUUUUUAAGUA